RNAcentral lists this ribosomal RNA (503 nucleotides) under uncultured bacterium. RNAcentral's name for it is "partial 16S ribosomal RNA". It matches the Rfam family "Bacterial small subunit ribosomal RNA", at positions 30 to 523 of the family's 1533-position model. The record is from RNAcentral.
AUUGAACGCUGGCGGCAGGCUUAACACAUGCAAGUCGAGCGGGGUGAUGGUGCUUGCACUAUCACUUAGCGGCGGACGGGUGAGUAAUGCUUAGGAAUCUGCCUAUUAGUGGGGGACAACAUCUCGAAAGGGAUGCUAAUACCGCAUACGUCCUACGGGAGAAAGCAGGGGAUCACUUGUGACCUUGCGCUAAUAGAUGAGCCUAAGUCGGAUUAGCUAGUUGGUGGGGUAAAGGCCUACCAAGGCGACGAUCUGUAGCGGGUCGGAGAGGAUGAUCCGCCACACUGGGACUGAGACACGGCCCAGACUCCUACGGGAGGUAGCAGUGGGGAAUAUUGGACAAGGGGGGGAACCCUGAUCCAGCCAUGCCGCGUGUGUGAAGAAGGCCUUAUGGUUGUAAAGCACUUUAAGCGAGGAGGAGGCUCUUUUGGUUAAUACCCAAGAUGAGUGGACGUUACUCGCAGAAUAAGCACCGGCUAACUCUGUGCCAGCCGCCGCCGUAA